GCAGGAAAGAUGAGUUACUCAGUGUGCUGCUUGCAUUUGAUAUGUGGUAGACUCAGCAGACUGAUGCCCUCCAUCCAUCCUGGAUCAAGCUGUGGGUGUGAGCAGCGUGCUGGAGAGGACUGAUGGUGCUUCCCUGCCUGCCAAGGGAUGGAGAAACUUAAGGAAAAUGGAGAGGGGGGGAAAAAAAGGUCAAGGCUGGACAGGAAAGUCAGAAUGUUGGUGUGAGAAGACAAAGGGAGCCUUGCCAGAGGCUCAUCCCACCUCCAUCCAGACCUGCUGAGCUGCUUCCUGAGGAUUCUGAGUGGACAGAAACAGCCCCUGGAACAGCAUUACUGGCCAAGCACAGAAUUCAACUCAUCAUUUCCCCUGACAAAGAAGGCAACGAUUAGGCACGGAAAUAAUUUGGGCUACUGCCUGUGUUGGAGAUAACUCUCCGUAAGAGAUGCUGGCUCGGAUGUUUCUUUCUCUCCAU
Cyanistes caeruleus (blue tit) is the source of this 472-nucleotide non-coding RNA. Lineage: Eukaryota; Metazoa; Chordata; Aves; Passeriformes; Paridae. The record is from RefSeq and is a predicted model, not a curated record.